CCUACGGGUGGCUGCAGUGGGGAAUUUUGGACAAUGGGCGCAAGCCUGAUCCAGCCAUGCCGCGUGAGUGAAGAAGGCCUUCGGGUUGUAAAGCUCUUUCGGCCGGGAAGAAAUCGCAUGGGUUAAUACCCUGUGUGGAUGACGGUACCGGAAUAAGAAGCACCGGCUAACUACGUGCCAGCAGCCGCGGUAAUACGUAGGGUGCGAGCGUUAAUCGGAAUUACUGGGCGUAAAGCGUGCGCAGGCGGUUUUGUAAGACAGGCGUGAAAUCCCCGGGCUUAACCUGGGAACUGCGCUUGUGACUGCAAGGCUAGAGUACGGCAGAGGGGGGUGGAAUUCCACGUGUAGCAGUGAAAUGCGUAGAGAUGUGGAGGAACACCAAUGGCGAAGGCAGCCCCCUGGGUCGAUACUGACGCUCAUGCACGAAAGCGUGGGUAGCAAACAGGAUUAGAUACCCCGGUAGUC
Molecule: ribosomal RNA, 465 nt
Filed under: uncultured Dechloromonas sp.
Lineage: Bacteria; Pseudomonadati; Pseudomonadota; Betaproteobacteria; Rhodocyclales; Azonexaceae
Description: bacterial SSU rRNA
Rfam family: Bacterial small subunit ribosomal RNA
Source: RNAcentral